RNAcentral lists this ribosomal RNA (478 nucleotides) under uncultured bacterium. Its description in RNAcentral is "SSU rRNA". It matches the Rfam family "Bacterial small subunit ribosomal RNA", at positions 26 to 517 of the family's 1533-position model. The record is from RNAcentral.
AGGACGAACGCUGGCGGCGUGCCUAACACAUGCAAGUCGAACGCGCUCCAUUCGGUAGCAAUACUGAUGAAGAGCGAGUGGCGAACGGGUGAGUAGCACGUGAGCAACCUGCCCCGAAGACCGGGACAACACCGGGAAACCGGUGCUAAUACCGGAUAUCCCUAUCGGACCGCAUGAUCUGAUAAGGAAAUGGAUUCCGCUUCGGGAGGGGCUCGCGGCCUAUCAGCUAGUUGGUGAGGUAACGGCCCACCAAGGCAUCGACGGGUAGCUGGUCUGAGAGGACGAUCAGCCACACUGGGACUGAGACACGGCCCAGACUCCUACGGGAGGCAGCAGUGGGGAAUCUUGCGCAAUGGGCGAAAGCCUGACGCAGCAACGCCGCGUGGAGGACGAAGGCUUUCUGAGUUGUAAACUCCUUUCAGCAGGGACGAUAGUGACGGUACCUGCAGAGAGCCCGGCAACUACGCGCCAGCAGCCG